RNAcentral lists this ribosomal RNA (425 nucleotides) under uncultured bacterium. RNAcentral describes it as "partial 16S ribosomal RNA". It matches the Rfam family "Bacterial small subunit ribosomal RNA", at positions 354 to 796 of the family's 1533-position model. The record is from RNAcentral.
GUGGGGAAUAUUGGACAAUGGGCGCAAGCCUGAUCCAGCCAUGCCGCGUGAGUGAUGAAGGCCUUAGGGUUGUAAAGCUCUUUCAGUAGGGAAGAUAAUGACGGUACCUACAGAAGAAGCCCCGGCUAACUUCGUGCCAGCAGCCGCGGUAAUACGAAGGGGGCUAGCGUUGUUCGGAUUUACUGGGCGUAAAGCGCACGUAGGCGGAUUGGUCAGUUAGAGGUGAAAUCCCGAAGCUCAACUUCGGAACUGCCUUUAAUACUGCCAGUCUCGAGUCCGGAAGAGGUGAGUGGAACUCCUAGUGUAGAGGUUGAUUUCGUAGAUAUUAGGAAGAACACCAGUGGCGAAGGCGGCUCACUGGUCCGGUACUGACGCUGAGGUGCGAAAGCGUGGGGAGCAAACAGGAUUAGAAACCCGAGUAGUCC